Long non-coding RNA from Melitaea cinxia (Glanville fritillary), 199 nucleotides. RefSeq lists it as uncharacterized. The record is from RefSeq and is a predicted model, not a curated record. Lineage: Eukaryota; Metazoa; Arthropoda; Insecta; Lepidoptera; Nymphalidae. The transcript is spliced from 2 exons.
AGGUAAGCGACCAGUUCCUUUAGCUGAUUUCGAAUCAUUAUAUGACGUAAGGCAUCAGUCAUCUCGAGCUGGUGAAGCUGCAGAUUUAAAUUUUAAGUGCUUGUCCGAGAUCGAGUGAAAUCUGACAACACCGCGUUGGUUUUUAUAUAUCGUAAACUUAGUUGAUCGUGGGAAACGUAUUACAAAAGAUUUGAGAAGA